AUCAAUAAGCGGAGGAAAAGAAAAUAACAAUGAUUUCCUUAGUAACGGCGAGUGAAGAGGAAAAAGCUCAAAGUUGUAACCUAUUUGGCUUAGCCAAAUCGGAUUGUAGACUGGAGAAGUGUUUUAUGGCACGCCGAGUGAAAAAGUCCCUUGGAACAGGGCAUCAUAGAGGGUGAGAAUCCCGUGAAUUCACUUGAGUAUAUGUUGUCAACUUUAAUACACUUUCAAAGAGUCAGGUUGUUUGGGAAUGCAGCCUAAAUUGGGUGGUAAAUCUCACCUAAAGCUAAAUAUUGGCGAGAGACCGAUAGCGAACAAGUACCGUGAGGGAAAGAUGAAAAGAACUUUGAAAAGAGAGUUAAACAGUACGUGAAAUUGUUAAAAGGGAACCGUUUGGAGCCAGACCGGCUUUAUCGUAAUCAAUCUAGGUUUCGACCUGGAUGCACUUGCGGUAGAUUUGCCUGCCAACGACAGUUUUUUUUGAGGGAAAAAACUAGGAGGAAUGUGGCCCUUAACUUGUUAGGGGUGUUAUAGCCUUUUAGAAAAUACCUUGAAUUGGACUGAGGAACGCAGCGAAUGCUCUUUAGGGCGAAAUAGUUGAGUGCUUUGGCUGAUAGAUGCUAGAAUUUCUGCUUCGGGUGGUGCUAGUGUUUAAAGGUUAAACUCGCUUGAUUCAUUUUUUAUUCGCUUAGGUUGUUGGCUUAAUGACUCUAAUGAC
This 715-nucleotide ribosomal RNA is filed under the name Cokeromyces recurvatus. RNAcentral's name for it is "eukaryotic LSU rRNA". It matches the Rfam family "Eukaryotic large subunit ribosomal RNA", at positions 42 to 648 of the family's 3401-position model. Lineage: Eukaryota; Fungi; Mucoromycota; Mucoromycetes; Mucorales; Mucoraceae. The record is from RNAcentral.